RNAcentral lists this ribosomal RNA (440 nucleotides) under uncultured bacterium. Its description in RNAcentral is "partial 16S ribosomal RNA". It matches the Rfam family "Bacterial small subunit ribosomal RNA", at positions 338 to 795 of the family's 1533-position model. The record is from RNAcentral.
CCUACGGGUGGCAGCAGUGGGGGAUAUUGCACAAUGGAGGGAACUCUGAUGCAGCGACGCCGCGUGAGGGAAGACUGUUUUCGGAUUGUAAACCUCUGUCUUCGGUGACGAAACGAGACGGUAGCCGAGGAGGAAGCCACGUCUAACUACGUGCGAGCAGCCGCGGUACUACGUAGGUGGCGAGGGUUGUCCGGAUUUACUGGGUGUAAAGGGAGCGUAGGGGGGAAAUCAAGUUGAAUGUUUAAGGUUCGGGCUCAACCUGUACAAGCGUUCAAAACUGUUUUUCUUGAGUGGAGUUGAGGUAAGCGGAAUUCGUAGUGUAGCGGUGAAAUGCGUAAAUAUUAGGAGGAACACCAGUGGCGAAGGCGGCUUACUGGGCUUUAACUGACGCUGAGGCUCGAAAGCGUGGGUAGCAAACAGGAUUAGAUACCCUUGUAGUC